UCCGAGAGGAGAAAAAAGGGAGAAAAAAGAGAAAGCAAAGCAGAUAGGUGUGGAGGCUGAAAAAGGGAUGUACAGUGCGAGUUACAUUGCCAGGCUUUGUGUGUUCUCAUUGCAGAAGAAGGGGGAAAUCAAAGCAGCGAGGGCUCCGAGAGGGACCGAUGGAGAGGUGAGCUUGGCAGUGGAGGACGGCUACUUCCUGUUCCUGCUGGAGUGACCCACAGGUCUGAGGAGGAGCGAGAGACAGAGCGAGGGAGAGGGAGAGAGCGCGAGAGCGAAAGAGAGGGAGAGAGAGAGAGAGAGAAAGGGAGAGAGAUUGACAGUUGAGGCCAGGCAGUUGCUGGAACCACAGGCUGAUGGACGGUUAAGCAGUUGGAGGGCUGCCAGUCAGACUCAGACAGAGUCUGGUGUGUGGGAGAAUUCCUGGAGAUCAGCACUUUCUGAGAACCUCAAACCAGCUUGACACCAAGAACCAUACCAUGGCCAAAGUCACUGAGAUUCAUUCUAAACCUUGGCUGCCUUAAUCCUGAAGGAUUCCAUUUCCUGCAACCAGAGAGUCCAAAGAAAUCAAGCAGCAGGAGAGCACUGUGUCCAGAGGGGAGGUCUCCAACAAUGCAUCAGCUUCAGCUGGACCACCAACAGCCAGGCCAAUUAGUGGCCAUUGUCUAGAGCAGCGGUGAGCUCUUAGCGCAGAGACCACCAGGAUGGAUCCUAGAACAAACCCCCUCACCAACCUCCCUGCCAUCUUCAGAUUCUCUGUUCAGCUCUUUGCACUUGUGUUACAUCUCUACCACACCCACUGUCAUUUUUCCAAAGUGCAAUUCUCCCACAACGCUUUAUUCUGGAGAGUGAAGGUUUGUUGAUAUCCAUGGUGCUGGGACUAUUACUGUAGGCCAGUAGGUUCCUAGCCACUUCAGUGUUUUUAGCAGGAGCCUUGCUCUUUCUCUCAUUCCCUCUGUCUCUCACCCACACACUCAUUCAGUUUGUCUCUUAUACGCGUUCUCAUCUCUGUACUAUUUUUCACUGUUAUUUUGCCAUCUCAGCUUUUCCUCUCCCCCCCUCCUUCUCACACACUCUGCUCCCCACUCCCCCCUGCAUCUCCAUUUUUCUCUUGUCCUGUCCUAUUACUGGCUGCUCCUCUGUGCCCUGUUCUGUGGGGUCACAGGUGCUCCUACCUUCUCUCUUCUCAGAGGCCUCUCUACCUCUUUCAUCUGUCCAUUUCCAGGUUAAGAGCCCAGUGGCUGAGAGGCUCAGUAGAUUAGUUGCCUUUCAUUCCCUGCAUGUAGCGUACACACACACACACACACACAAACACACACACACACACACACACACACACACACACACACACACACACACACACACACACACACAAACACACACACACACACACACACACACACACACACACACACACACACACACACACACACACACACACAAAUUCUCUACUUCAGUGUUUCCCAAAACCUUAAAUGCUUCUAAUGCCUUGUAAUUUAAAAGAAAACUACUCUAAUUUCUUGUAACAUUUUGACUGUGGUAUUAUUUUGCAUGAUAAUUUGCAAUGUUACAGUUUAGCAUCAUUCAUUACUCUUGGUCUCGUCACCUCCCUCCUUUUUGUCCAUCUCCAGCCAGUGCUAUUAGAGAGAGAGUAUCAGGAAAGUGCAUGCUUUCUGUUGUGUGCUAUCUGAGCCACUGGCCUGGCAAGUGAAAACGAAUGUUCAAAAGGUUGUGCUUUAUAUUUAGCAGAGGAGGUGACCUCAGAGUGGCUUAAAAGGGCUCACAGACCUAAAGGUGCAUUGCAAGUCUUACACUAAUUCACUGUGAUAGCUAAAAAGCUCAGCACAGGCCAGUGAUGAGAGCAGACUCCAGAGGAUCAGGAAGAGGCCACUGUGUGGUCAGUACAUGUUAUUCAGCAUAAAUAUUGAAUUUAGAAAAGCCGUUAAGUGAACUCAUGUCAGAACUGUUUGCAUACUGUUCA
Molecule: long non-coding RNA, 1978 nt
Organism: Clarias gariepinus (North African catfish)
Lineage: Eukaryota; Metazoa; Chordata; Actinopteri; Siluriformes; Clariidae
Exons: 5
Source: RefSeq, a predicted model, not a curated record